Molecule: ribosomal RNA, 255 nt
Filed under: uncultured bacterium
Lineage: Bacteria
Description: partial 16S ribosomal RNA
Rfam family: Bacterial small subunit ribosomal RNA
Source: RNAcentral
GUCCACGCCGUAAACGAUGGAUACUAGCUGUUGGGGGCAACUUCAGUGGCUAAGCGAAAGUGAUAAGUAUCCCACCUGGGGAGUACGGGCGCAAGCCUGAAACUCAAAGGAAUUGACGGGGGCCCGCACAAGCGGUGGAGCAUGUGGUUUAAUUCGAUGAUACGCGAGGAACCUUACCAAGGCUUAAAUGUAGAUUGACCGAUUUGGAAACAGAUCUUUCGCAAGACAAUUUACAAGGUGCUGCAUGGUUGUCGU